UGGACAAAUUAUUGUAUUCGACUGUAUUCACGGCGUGAAACAGGGGAUUACAUUGUCUUUAAAUGGAAAGUGAAUCAAUUAACAUAAUAGACUCCU
Non-coding RNA from Nicotiana tabacum (common tobacco), 96 nucleotides. Lineage: Eukaryota; Viridiplantae; Streptophyta; Magnoliopsida; Solanales; Solanaceae. The record is from Rfam.